CGGAUCGUAGCGCAGCUUGGCAGCGCACUCGCUUCGGGAGCGAGGGGUCGCCGGUUCAAAUCCGGCCGGUCCGAC
Molecule: transfer RNA, 75 nt
Filed under: Virgisporangium aliadipatigenens
Lineage: Bacteria; Bacillati; Actinomycetota; Actinomycetes; Micromonosporales; Micromonosporaceae
Description: tRNA-Pro
Rfam family: tRNA
About the family: Transfer RNA (tRNA) molecules are approximately 80 nucleotides in length. Their secondary structure includes four short double-helical elements and three loops (D, anti-codon, and T loops).
Source: RNAcentral